RNAcentral lists this ribosomal RNA (566 nucleotides) under Pseudomonas savastanoi. Its description in RNAcentral is "bacterial SSU rRNA". It matches the Rfam family "Bacterial small subunit ribosomal RNA", at positions 102 to 664 of the family's 1533-position model. The record is from RNAcentral. Lineage: Bacteria; Pseudomonadati; Pseudomonadota; Gammaproteobacteria; Pseudomonadales; Pseudomonadaceae.
ACGGGUGAGUAAUGCCUAGGAAUCUGCCUGGUAGUGGGGGACAACGUUUCGAAAGGAACGCUAAUACCGCAUACGUCCUACGGGAGAAAGCAGGGGACCUUCGGGCCUUGCGCUAUCAGAUGAGCCUAGGUCGGAUUAGCUAGUUGGUGAGGUAAUGGCUCACCAAGGCGACGAUCCGUAACUGGUCUGAGAGGAUGAUCAGUCACACUGGAACUGAGACACGGUCCAGACUCCUACGGGAGGCAGCAGUGGGGAAUAUUGGACAAUGGGCGAAAGCCUGAUCCAGCCAUGCCGCGUGUGUGAAGAAGGUCUUCGGAUUGUAAAGCACUUUAAGUUGGGAGGAAGGGCAGUAAGUUAAUACCUUGCUGUUUUGACGUUACCGACAGAAUAAGCACCGGCUAACUCUGUGCCAGCAGCCGCGGUAAUACAGAGGGUGCAAGCGUUAAUCGGAAUUACUGGGCGUAAAGCGCGCGUAGGUGGUUCGUUAAGUUGGAUGUGAAAGCCCCGGGCUCAACCUGGGAACUGCAUCCAAAACUGGCGAGCUAGAGUACGGUAGAGGGUGGUGG